RNAcentral lists this ribosomal RNA (257 nucleotides) under uncultured bacterium. RNAcentral's name for it is "partial small subunit ribosomal RNA". It matches the Rfam family "Bacterial small subunit ribosomal RNA", at positions 26 to 285 of the family's 1533-position model. The record is from RNAcentral.
AGGACGAACGCUGGCGGCGUGCUUAACACAUGCAAGUCGAGCGAGGCCCUCUCUUCGGAGAGGUGCCCUAGCGGCGAACGGGUGAGUAACACGUGGGCAACCUGCCCCUAGCACUGGGAUAAGCCCGGGAAACCGGGUCUAAUACCGGAUAUGACCUUCAAGGGCAUCCUCGAAGGUGUAAAGGAUUCUGGCUAGGGAUGGGCCCGCGGCCUAUCAGCUUGUUGGUGGGUAAUGGCCCACCAAGGCAACGACGGGUA